CAAUAGCGUAUAUUUAAGUUGUUGCAGUUAAAAAGCUCGUAGUUGGAUUUCGGAUGGGCUUGACCGGUCCGCCGUUUGGUGUGCACUGGUCGUGCCUAUCUUGCUGCCGGGGACGCGCUCCUGGCCUUAAUUGGCUGGGACGCGGAGUCGGCGAUGUUACUUUGAAAAAAUUAGAGUGUUCAAAGCAGGCCUAAGCUCUGAAUACAUUAGCAUGGAAUAACGCUAUAGGACUCUGGUCUUAUUGCGUUGGUCUUCGAGACCGGAGUAAUGAUUAAGAGGGACAGUUGGGGGCAUUCGUAUUUCAUUGUCAGAGGUGAAAUUCUUGGAUUUGUGAAAGACGAACUUCUGCGAAAGCAUUUGCCAAGGAUGUUUUCAUUAA
RNAcentral lists this ribosomal RNA (379 nucleotides) under uncultured eukaryote. RNAcentral describes it as "partial 18S ribosomal RNA". It matches the Rfam family "Eukaryotic small subunit ribosomal RNA", at positions 592 to 976 of the family's 1831-position model. The record is from RNAcentral.